This 253-nucleotide ribosomal RNA is filed under the name uncultured bacterium. Its description in RNAcentral is "partial 16S ribosomal RNA". It matches the Rfam family "Bacterial small subunit ribosomal RNA", at positions 524 to 776 of the family's 1533-position model. The record is from RNAcentral.
UACGGAGGGGGCUAGCGUUGUUCGGAAUUACUGGGCGUAAAGCGCACGUAGGCGGCUUUGUAAGUUAGAGGUGAAAGCCCGGAGCUCAACUCCGGAAUUGCCUUUAAGACUGCAUCGCUCGAAUCAUGGAGAGGUGAGUGGAAUUCCGAGUGUAGAGGUGAAAUUCGUAGAUAUUCGGAAGAACACCAGUGGCGAAGGCGACUCACUGGACAUGUACUGACGCUGAGGUGCGAAAGCGUGGGGAGCAAACAGG